Molecule: ribosomal RNA, 580 nt
Filed under: uncultured bacterium
Lineage: Bacteria
Description: bacterial SSU rRNA
Rfam family: Bacterial small subunit ribosomal RNA
Source: RNAcentral
UCCUACGGGAGGCAGCAGUGAGGAAUAUUGGUCAAUGGAGGCAACUCUGAACCAGCCAUGCCGCGUGAAGGAUGACGGCCCUAUGGGUUGUAAACUUCUUUUGAAUAGGAAGAAACUUAUCUACGUGUAGAUAACUGACGGUACUAUUAGAAUAAGGAUCGGCUAACUCCGUGCCAGCAGCCGCGGUAAUACGGAGGAUCCAAGCGUUAUCCGGAUUCAUUGGGUUUAAAGGGUCCGUAGGCGGAUCUUUAAGUCAGUGGUGAAAGCCGACAGCUUAACUGUCGAACUGCCAUUGAUACUGGAGAUCUUGAGUACAAAUGAAGUAGGCGGAAUGAGUCAUGUAGCGGUGAAAUGCAUAGAUAUGACUCAGAACACCGAUUGCGAAGGCAGCUUACUAACAUGUAACUGACGCUCAGGGACGAAAGCGUGGGGAGCGAACAGGAUUAGAUACCCUGGUAGUCCACGCCGUAAACGAUGAUCACUCGCUGUUGGCGAUACACAGUCAGCGGCCAAGCGAAAGCAUUAAGUGAUCCACCUGGGGAGUACGCCGGCAACGGUGAAACUCAAAGGAAUUGACGGA